Molecule: long non-coding RNA, 952 nt
Organism: Piliocolobus tephrosceles (Ugandan red Colobus)
Lineage: Eukaryota; Metazoa; Chordata; Mammalia; Primates; Cercopithecidae
Source: Ensembl
AUGGCAACAGAAAUGAAUAUUAAAAACUUAAAUAUUAAAAAUGAAAGAAGUACAAAUAACUUGUUAAAUAAGUUAAUAAAAGAAAAUGAUGAUUAUAAAACGAAAAUAAAUGAAAAAGAUGAAAAAAUAAUAAGUUUGAAUAAUGAAAUAAAAAACAUUAAACAAAAUAUCAUACAAUUGGAAAAUGAAUUGACAAAACAGAAAGAUGAAAACUUAAAUAAAAUAAAAAUUAUUGAAAAUUUAAAAAACAAAAUACAUAAAAAAGAUGUAACACAAAAUGAUAAAAAUGAUAAAAAUAAUAGUACUGACCAAUUAUUAAAAAAUAGCAAUUAUAUAAAAAAAUUAUAUAAUGAAAAUAAUAUACUAAAAGAUAAAAUAAAAAAAUUAAAUAGUUUAACUAAAAGGCAAUGUAGUAGUUCUUUAAAUCCACUUCCAAAUAUAUUAGACAAAAAAGAAUUUUCAAAAACUGAUUUGGUUGAUAAUAAAGCGGGCGCAAAAGAAAAUGAUCAAUCUGAAAAGGCUAAUUUUUAUUUUAAUGCUUUUUUAAAUGCCGAACAAACAAUAUAUACAGCUGAUAUAGUUAUAAACACACAGAAAGAAAUUAUUGCAAAAAUUAAGAAAGAUCACAAUGAUUAUUUAGAAGAAUUUCAAAAAAGCAAAGAUGUUUUUAAAAAGGAAAUAGAAAAAUCUUUAGAUUUUAUAUAUUCAGUAUGCGAAGAUAUAAAAACGAAAAAAGAAAAGAUUUGUCUAACUAAUAGGAUAAAUAAAUUACAUGAAAACAUAAAUAAUUUUUUAUAUAAAUUUGAAAAGGAAUUGUAAAAAGCUUAUAAAAGAAUGGUCAACUUUUAAAUUUUGAUAUUUUUUUUAAAAAUGUUUGAAAUUAACCAAGUUACAAAAAAAGUAAAAGAAAUUAUUUAAUAAAAUAAAAACUCAUAAUUUUUUGCCUAAGUGG